UACGUAGGAGGCGAGCGUUGUCCGGAAUUACUGGGCGUAAAGAGCGCGUAGGCGGCGCGGUACGACCGCUGUGAAAGCCCUCAGCUCAACUGGGGAGGGUCAGCGGUAACGGCCGUGCUUUGAGUGCAGGAGAGGGAAGUGGAACUCCGGGAGUAGCGGUGAAAUGCGUAGAGACCCGGAGGAACACCAGUGGCGAAGGCGGCUUCCUGGUCUGCGACUGACGCUGUGGCGCGAAAGCUAGGGGAGCGAACGGG
This 254-nucleotide ribosomal RNA is filed under the name uncultured bacterium. RNAcentral's name for it is "partial 16S ribosomal RNA". It matches the Rfam family "Bacterial small subunit ribosomal RNA", at positions 524 to 776 of the family's 1533-position model. The record is from RNAcentral.